AGCGAACGCUGGCGGCAGGCCUAACACAUGCAGGUCGAACGAACCUUUCGGGGUUAGUGGCGGACGGGUGAGUAACACGUGGGAACGUGCCUUUAGGUUCGGAAUAACUCAGGGAAACUUGUGCUAAUACCGAAUGUGCCCUUCGGGGGAAAGAUUAAUCGCCUUUAGAGCGGCCCGCGUCUGAUUAGCUAGUUGGUUGAGGUAAUGGCUCACCAAGGCGACGAUCAGUAGCUGGUCUGAGAGGAUGAUCAGCCACAUUGGGACUGAGACACGGCCCAAACUCCUACGGGAGGCAGCAGUGGGGAAUCUUGCGCAAUGGGCGAAAGCCUGACGCAGCCAUGCCGCGUGAAUGAUGAAGGUCUUAGGAUUGUAAAAUUCUUUCACCGGGGACGAUAAUGACGGUACCCGGAGAAGAAGCCCCGGCUAACUUCGU
RNAcentral lists this ribosomal RNA (433 nucleotides) under uncultured bacterium. RNAcentral describes it as "partial 16S ribosomal RNA". It matches the Rfam family "Bacterial small subunit ribosomal RNA", at positions 29 to 506 of the family's 1533-position model. The record is from RNAcentral.